CAAAGGUUUGGUCCUAGCCUUAAAAUCAACUUUCUCUGAGAUUACACAUGCAAGUCUCCGCACCCCUGUGAAAAUGCCCUUUAACCUCCAAACAGAGGAAGAGGAGCUGGUAUCAGGCCCAAUAUUUAGCCCAUGACACCUUGCUACGCCACACCCCCAAGGGAGCUCAGCAGUGAUUAACCUUGAGCAUAAGCGCCACAAAGCUUGACUCAGCUACAGAGAACUAAAGUCGGUUAAUCUCGUGCCAGCCACCGCGGUUACACGAGAGACUUAAGUUGAUUAUCCACGGCGUAAAGCGUGAUUAAAGAAAAACCUAAAUAAAGCUAAAACCAAACCAAGCUGUCGCACGCUCUCGUUUGAAGGAAACACACUAACGAAAGUAGCUUUAAAAACUUGAACUCACGAUCGCUGAGAAACAAACUGGGAUUAGAUACCCCACUAUGCUCAGCCGUAAACUUUGAUUAAUUACACUAAUCUCCGCCAGGGGACUACGAGCUUCAGCUUAAAACCCAAAGGACUUGGCGGUGCCCCAAAUCCAUCUAGAGGAGCCUGUUCUAUAAUCGAUACCCCCCGCUUAACCUCACCACUUUUUGCCAGCCCCGCCUAUAUACCACCGUCGCCAGCCCACCCUGUGAAGGAACAUUAGUAGGCCUAAUGAUUAAUCAUCAAAACGUCAGGUCAAGGUGUAGCAAAUAAAGUGGAAAGAAAUGGGCUACAUUUUCUAACCAUAGAACACACGAAAGACCUACAUGAAACAUGGUCAGAAGGCGGAUUUAGUAGUAAGAAGAAAAAAGAGUGUUCUUCUUAAAACGGCCCUGGGGCGCGCACACACCGCCCGUCACCCUCUUCAAUAUAACAAAAUACAACUACAUAAACCUAAUUAACCACUAAGAAGAGGCAAGUCGUAACAUGGUAAGCACACCGGAAGGUGUGCUUGGAG
RNAcentral lists this non-coding RNA (940 nucleotides) under Pseudhymenochirus merlini (Merlin's clawed frog). Its description in RNAcentral is "small subunit ribosomal RNA". It matches the Rfam family "Bacterial small subunit ribosomal RNA". Lineage: Eukaryota; Metazoa; Chordata; Amphibia; Anura; Pipidae. The record is from RNAcentral.